Molecule: ribosomal RNA, 432 nt
Filed under: uncultured bacterium
Lineage: Bacteria
Description: bacterial SSU rRNA
Rfam family: Bacterial small subunit ribosomal RNA
Source: RNAcentral
AACGAACGCUGGCGGCAGGCUUAACACAUGCAAGUCGAACGCCCCGCAAGGGGAGUGGCAGACGGGUGAGUAACGCGUGGGAACGUACCUUUCAGUUCGGAAUAACUCAGGGGAAACUUGUGCUAAUACCGGAUACGCCCGCAAGGGGAAAGAUUUAUCGCUGAAAGAUCGGCCCGCGUUGGAUUAGCUAGUUGGUGGGGUAAAGGCCUACCAAGGCGACGAUCCAUAGCUGGUCUGAGAGGAUGAUCAGCCACACUGGGACUGAGACACGGCCCAGACUCCUACGGGAGGCAGCAGUGGGGAAUAUUGGACAAUGGGCGCAAGCCUGAUCCAGCCAUGCCGCGUGUGUGAUGAAGGCCUUAGGGUUGUAAAGCACUUUCACCGAUGAAGAUAAUGACGGUAGUCGGAGAAGAAGCCCCGGCUAACUUCGUG